Tribonema minus is the source of this 72-nucleotide non-coding RNA. The record is from the annotation of a GenBank genome assembly. Lineage: Eukaryota; Xanthophyceae; Tribonematales; Tribonemataceae.
CGUGGACAAGGUCGGUGGUAGCUUGUCAGGCUCGUGAUCUGAAGGUCGCAGGUUCAAAUCCUGCUCUCGCGU